GUGCCAGCAGCCGCGGUAAUACGUAGGGUGCGAGCGUUGUCCGGAAUUACUGGGCGUAAAGAGCUCAUAGGUGGUUUGUCGCGUCGUCUGUGAAAUUCUGGGGCUUAACUCCGGGCGUGCAGGCGAUACGGGCAUAACUUGAGUGCUGUAGGGGUAACUGGAAUUCCUGGUGUAGCGGUGAAAUGCGCAGAUAUCAGGAGGAACACCGAUGGCGAAGGCAGGUUACUGGGCAGUUACUGACGCUGAGGAGCGAAAGCAUGGGUAGCGAACAGGAUUAGAUACCCUGGUAGUCAAGGGCGAAUUCGUU
Molecule: ribosomal RNA, 307 nt
Filed under: uncultured Actinomycetales bacterium
Lineage: Bacteria; Bacillati; Actinomycetota; Actinomycetes; Actinomycetales
Description: bacterial SSU rRNA
Rfam family: Bacterial small subunit ribosomal RNA
Source: RNAcentral